UACAGAGGUCUCAAGCGUUGUUCGGAUUUAUUGGGCGUAAAGGGCGCGUAGGCGGCGGGGUAAGUCGGGUGUGAAAUCUCAGGGCUCAACCCUGAAACUGCACUUGAUACUGCUCUGCUUGAGGACUGGAGAGGAGACUGGAAUUCACGGUGUAGUAGUGAAAUGCGUAGAUAUCGUGAGGAAGACCAGUGGCGAAGGCGGGUCUCUGGACAGUUCCUGACGCUGAGGCGCGAAGGCCAGGGGAGCAAACGGG
Molecule: ribosomal RNA, 253 nt
Filed under: uncultured bacterium
Lineage: Bacteria
Description: partial 16S ribosomal RNA
Rfam family: Bacterial small subunit ribosomal RNA
Source: RNAcentral